RNAcentral lists this ribosomal RNA (442 nucleotides) under uncultured bacterium. Its description in RNAcentral is "partial 16S ribosomal RNA". It matches the Rfam family "Bacterial small subunit ribosomal RNA", at positions 339 to 795 of the family's 1533-position model. The record is from RNAcentral.
CUACGGGCUGCUGCAGUGGGGAAUUUUGCGCAAUGGGCGAAAGCCUGACGCAGCAACGCCGCGUGAGCGAUGAAGGUUUUCGGAUCGUAAAGCUCUGUCAGAUGGGAAGAAGAACAUGACGGUACCAUCAGAGGAAGCCCCGGCUAACUCCGUGCCAGCAGCCGCGGUAAUACGGAGGGGGCGAGCGUUGUUCGGAAUUAUUGGGCGUAAAGCGUAUGUAGGUGGUUUGACAAGUCAGACGUGUAAGCCCACGGCUCAACCGUGGAAUUGCGUUUGAAACUAUCUAACUUGAGUGCAGAAGAGGAAAGCGGAAUUUCCAGUGUAGCGGUGAAAUGCGUUGAUAUUGGGAAGAACACCUGUGGCGAAGGCGGCUUUCUGGUCUGCUACUGACACUGAGAUACGAAAGCCAGGGGAGCAAACGGGAUUAGAUACCCGGGUAGUC